Non-coding RNA from Carica papaya (papaya), 528 nucleotides. Lineage: Eukaryota; Viridiplantae; Streptophyta; Magnoliopsida; Brassicales; Caricaceae. The record is from RefSeq and is a predicted model, not a curated record.
UAAUUAAAUUAUUAAAGCAAUUUACUUGACGCUCCAUAAAUAUCUUAGCUCGGUACGGAGUCUGUUACCAUUUCUUGUCAAGGACGGGAUACGAAGAAAAUGGAAAACACAAACGAGGGUUGCAGGGAAAGGUGGGUUUUAAAGGUUUGAUGAAGCAUCACUAUCUAAAGCAGAGAGAAAUGAAAGCUCUGACUACAAUGUUCGGGGCUGGUAUUUCUUCACCACAUACAGUUGUACAGUUAUAAAGUUAAUGCAGGAAAACUGGACAACAGUCAGGCCAGCCAUCUAGGUACUGUCACUGAUGAAGUAAAGGUGGGUAAAGAUCAGAAGUCUCAAUCUUGCUCGCACUUUUAACGUAUGCACUGUACGUAUUGGAGCAGUAAUGAAAUCUGCCAACUUCCGAUAUUAAUUUCUUCAAUACUUUCUUCUUUCCUUAGAAACAACUAAAAUGACUUUAUGGGUGUUUCAACAUUAGUAGCUGUAAACGAUUUCAGAACCCUCCUGUAUACUUAUAUACUGGUGUAACAU